AGGCCUCGAGCUGUCAGCACAGAGCCGGACACGGGGCUUGAACUCAUGAACCAUGAAAUCAUGACCCGAGUCAAAGUUGGACACUCAACCGACUGAGCCACCCAGGUACCCCUCAUCCAGCUUUUUAAUAGGUUUGAUUGGGUUAUUAUAAUGUGAACUAAUAAGCACUAUAAUUUGUUCCUUUAGGGGUUCUUGAAUAUUUUCCUCAAAUUUUAUGUCCUAUUACCUCCAUUCCUAGAAUGUUUUCUAAAUUGGUAUUUAUAAGCAAUUAGCUUUAAUGCACACUCUAUCCUCAAUUGUUAAAAUCUAUAUACCCAUUCCCUGGAAUUAAUUAAUCCAUUUUUAUUGUUAAAAUUUUCUAAAUGAGUAGGAUAUCCCUGUAUCAUUGUUACCUGGGACUCUGUAUCUAACAACAUAGUGGUAUAUGUAUAUCUCUGCUUGCAAAAGGGGUUUCUAUUGAUAUGGCCGUUGUAAUGUAUGGGCGAUUGUCUCUGACUUGGGCCAAGAGACAGAGACCACCGAGUCCCCAUGGGGGGCUCGUGGGGUGUGCAUUCCUUUGGCUAUCAGUGGCUUGUCUAUUAAUGGGAUUAGGUUUUAUAAAGCAGUUAGUAUUUACAGUAAAUGGGUUGGUGGUUAUGUGUAGGUUUAUUUUCUAUAGGUCUAACAUAAAAGCUUGGCUGUUUCCAUUUCUCUGCCACUGUACACACUUUCUCAGGUUCUUAUUUGAGUUUCUAUUUUUAUAAUUUGUUUCCAAGAGUGGUGGUCUAAAUGGUUUAGGGAAUCAAAAGGGCCUUAUAGAUUUAGGUCUAAAUGGUCUAUUUUAAUUUGGUUUAUUUUCAUUAGGUGUAAGCCUGUUAUGUCUAUAUACAUGAGGCUUAAAACUAUAGCCUUAUCUUUUUUUUCUAAUGUUUUAUUUAUUUUUGAGAGACACACACAAAGUGUGAGUGGAGAGGGUCAGGGAGAGAGGGAGACACAAAAUCCAAAGCAGGCUCUAGGCUGUCAGCACAGAACCUGACACAGGGCUUGAACUCACGAAUGGUGCUAUCAGACCUGAGCCGAAGUUGGAGGCUUAACCAACUGAGCCACCCAGGUGCCCCAAAGCUAUUGCCUUUAGCUUAAGUUAGCCUCUCAGCUGUUCUUAUCAAGUCAAUCAGUUCUGUUUUUCUGCCUCACACAAAUACUGUAAAUAAUGCUGUUCUAUCCUGUAGUGCACAGCUUUUAGGCUGAACUUUUAAUUUGUUUUGUUGCUUCCACAUGUAUCAGUAAGGAUGUCCGCCCCUAUCAUAAAUCAUAGUUAAUAGUCCUAAUUUCAUACUACUGAAAUAUAAUAAUGAAAUGAAAUAUAUUAAUAGCAUUCACUGUUUUCCAUGGAGAUAUUGUUAAGAGAUGAUAUAUUAGGUAUAGGUCAUCUUAAUCUCCAGUUUGCUGCUAUAUAAACAAAGAUCUUUGUAAACUAAUAUUAUUUUCCCCAGAUGUUCUGAGUAUUGAUUCAUUUUAGCAUCAAUGAUAAUGGGUUUUAGGUGCAUAAUCUCUACUUUUGUGAGGAUCAGGUUUUGUCUUCCUUUGGACCACAAAUCUAAUAGCCACUGAGUUUCUGUGUCCAAAUCUGUUGGAAUUCCAUUCUAAUUUUUGUCAUUUCUUAUCUGGUUUUAGCUCUCUCUUCAAUGACUCUGAUUGGUUCCAUAUUAAUCAUUUGUUGUAAUUUUGUCUAUUAUCAUGGGCUUUUAGCUUCUAGUUAGCUAAUGCUAUGAGGGUCAAAAUGGUUGAAAUGUAGAUUGGUGCCCUUAGAGGCAAAAGGGUAUGGGUUUCUUCCUAACCUGGAGAUAACUUUUUUUUUUAAGUUUAUUUACUUAUUUUGGGAGAGAGAGAGAGAGUAUGCGAGUGCAGGAGAGGCAGAGAGAGAGGGAGACAGAGACCUGUGCUGUGAGAUCGUGACCUGAGUGGAAAUCAAGAGUCAGACACUUAACUGGGCCACCCAGGCAUCCCUGGAGAUAACUGUUUGUGCUGGUACUUUUCCUUUCUGCCUGUUGGCAUCUGUGUUACUCUAAUGCUUCUAAUAAGAGCACUAGAAGAUCUUCCUUGCUUGCUCUAAUACAAGAUAUAAUUGACUGCAUUGGUUGAUCAGGCCAAUAUUUGGAGUUUCCUUAAUUUUAACUUUUGCCUAAAGUCUUCAAUAGGUCUCUAUGGAUCCUCAGAUGGUAAUAUAUAAUCCGUUCUAUCCCUAAAUCACCUCUUGGAUCAUUUUGGAAGGGUUCGUAAGUCGGGUAUAUUUGCUAUUGUUCUGCUGCCUUUCACAAGUAUGUUCAAUAUAUGUUUUAUCAGAGAGAUGCCUAAUAAGAUUCCAAAUGAUUCGUACUAUGGUAAAGCAGAAUAAGAUAAUUGUUGCGGACAACAUUAGCAUCAAAAUUAUACUAGCCCUAUCAAUUUUGUCUAUUCAAAGGUUGGUUAUAAUUUCAAUAAGACGCCAUAAAUAGUAAACAGUAUCUUAAAUUUAAAAUUUGUCAAGCCAUUAAUGGGCUUUUUCAGAUUUUUGUUAAUAUAAAUUUAUUACAAUUUAUCACUUGUUUCAGUGGAAUUCAAUGGAAUAUGACAUAUUUCACAGCAAUGACUGCUGUUAAUUAUUAUUACUUUGGUUCAGGUUGCAGAUUAUACCAAUUAUUUUGUUCGAGGAGGUGAAUUAAAGCUCAGCGACUGAGUUUGUCUUUGCCAAAAAUGUUCUCAACACAGCUUCACUGGGAAUUUUACAAGCCACCUGCACACAGGGUAGUAAUGUCUUUUAAUAAAGCCAAUAAAGAAAUGCUAUAGCCCGAACAAAUGAUAAAUGAACCACACUAUUGUCCCAGAAAAAGGGAGAUGAUAGGAAUAAAGUCCAAAUUUAGUUGAGGCAUACUUUUGUUAAAAAAAAAAAGUUAACUGAGUAAAUUAGAAUAUCUAAUUGAUUUUAUUAAGCAAUUUAUGAAUCCAACAGCAUCACAAAUAGCAAGUAGAGAGAUGCUCUGAGGAGUUGUACAAAUGGAAGGUUUUUAUAGGAGGGAGAAUGGGGCAAGGAAAUUAUCAGCAAAAGAAAAGAAAGUUUAGUCUCAGGCCAGGAAAGCUUCUUUGAAGUGGGGAGGGACCAGCAGAGUUUGUUAUCAUGCAGAUCACCUCACUGAUGCCGAUCAGGAAAUUUCAGAUUGACUUAAUUUUUUUUAAGUAGGCUCCACACCCAGUAUGAAGGCCAGCUUGGGCUUGAACUCAUGACCCUGAGAUCAAGAGUCCGAGGCUUAAUCAACUGAACCACCGAGGUACCCCCAGAUUCACUUUUAAAAGGUCACAUUGUUGGGGCAACUGGCUGGCUCAGUCAGAAGAGCAUGCCACUCUUGAUAUCAGGGUCAUGAGUUAGAGCCCCAUGAUGGGUGUUAGAGAGUACUUUUAAAAAUAAAUAAAAGGCCACAUUCCUGGGAUAGGGUGAAAUUGUAACUAAAUCUUGGUUUGUUGUUGUUGGGGGCAAAGGACUCCAUUUUGGAUUUCUCUUUUUAACACUUUAUAGGAGUUGACACUCAAGAGAGGCUUAGUCAAGUGAAAACUGACAUCCAGAAGUCAGUGCAAAAAAGUUCUGUGUUGCUAGAGCUUGUUGCUAGGGAACAAGGGCACAGGUGUUGUUUGGCAAGAUGACCUUCCCUAAGAUGCUACUUGGCUUUGCCCCUGCUUUUAAGAGACUUGCCUUUACUGGGGGCAGAAACUAAUUGUCUCAGGGUCUUUGGGAACUAUUUUAAAUCAGCAAAGUUUAUGAUUGCUCAGAGCAAGCAUUCUCCAAUAGUCCCCACAGCUCUCAUUAUUUAUGGUCUCAUGUCUCCUUGACAGUUACAUCAUCUGUUUUCAUUGAUAAGCUGCCAGCCAGGCCCCUCAGCAGCUGAGUUGCUGAGUUUUGAUGGGCGAGAACAGAUGAGAUGAUGAUGUCCUGACACAACUUCCUUCAUUCUUAUAUCAAAACAACUUUACCUCUGAAAACAGUUUGUCCUUCUCAUAAACAAGUGGACUUGACAUCAUACCAAACCAAUACACAACAUAGACAGAGCUGGAAGAAUCUGGACUGUCUGGCCAUUGGGGGCCGGGAAUGGAUGAUAGAUACCUGGGAGGCUGGAGAAACCUAGGACCCUCGUCAGAUAGCCAAUCCAAAUGAGCACAACCUGUCACAAAUUUAAAGCUGCCUCCUGACAAAGACUUUCAUGUGGAGGGUUCCCUACACCCUGAGGCAAUUCAGGUGACUGGGUUCUGAACAGAGUUUCACAGGCUUGGAGCAUCCCCUGUAGCCCUAGUCCUGCUGAUGAGGCGUGGACUGCAUGUGUCCACUGUGUGGGUCAGGAUAGCCUGGAACGAGGCAAUAUUGAAGGAAGCCAGGUCACAGGAUGGGGCUAUUCAGAGUAUGAGUCAGCAGCCUAACAUGCACGGCCUACGAGCCCAUAUGGAGUUUUCCCCACAAGGCAGAGCUGAAGGUUUUCCAUCUGCUUUGCCAGGGAGGGAACACUGGCAGGACAGGAUAUCCUCCAUUUAGACGUAUCUGGGAGUCCUGGUCCCUAGAGAAGCCUAGGACACCAUUGGCUGCAAGUUCACAUGGGGACCAUUGCCCAUUUGCAGCUUUCACUCAGGGUGAUUUUUGAAAGGUGGGCUCCCUCCAUGCUAAAAGCUAUGAGGGUGAUUGGAGCCUGGAGGGAGUUUGACAAGUUUAGAGAGCUGCGUCUGCCCAAGUCCAGCUUCUGGGUGCAUAAUGCGCAUGUACAGGCUACACAGGUAAAGCCAGGGACAUGGAACAGGGCAAUGUUGGGCAAGACCCAGUCACCUGAGGGGGCUUUGGAGGUAACGGACAUGUGCCUAAUCCCAAACUUUCACCUACACAAAUAGACGUUCUCACUGAAGGCAGAUCUGGAGUAAUCUGGAGUGCCUGAUCAGGUUUAAUCGGCGGUCUGGCUAGAGUAUCCUCUAAUAAGGACACCUGGCAACCUUGAUUACUGCAGAAGCCCCAGAACCCAGCCGACACUAAGUCUUCAUGGGCUCUGCCCAGCUCCCAUUUCAGAGGCUGUUCAGGGUGUUGGGUCCCUGCACCCUUGAGACUGUGCAGGUGGUUGGGGAUGGGUCUCAGCUCCAAAGGCCUAGUGGCCCCAGCUGCUGAAGGACAGCUAAUGGGGUACAUACUCCUCAUGAUGUGGGCUGUGCAGGUUAAUGUAGCCGUGGACCUGAGAAAAGGUGAGUGUCUUGUAAGGCCAGGUCACAAGAGCAGACUAUUAGAAGUACCAGGCAUCUGUCUAAUUAUAAGGCUUCACCUAACAAAUGUGUAUUUUCCCCUUUAAGCAGAGCUGGAGAAAUCUGGACGGCCUUACUAGGACCAGCUGGAAUGCCCCCUUAUAAGACACAGCUGGGAUCCUUAAUUGCUGGAGAAGUCAGCUCCCUUUCAGACAGUUCGAACGGGGCCUGACAGUUCCCAGUUUAACUUAGGGCUUCAGGAAAAUUUGGGGGGGGGGAUGUGGGCUCUCUCCACCCUGAAGGCUAGCAGGUGAUAGGCAACUGGUUCGAGCCUCACAGGCCUGGAGAAUUCCAACAGCCAAAAGCUGGCAGACAGUGUGGAAUGUACAUUACAGCUGGCAGGUCAUGAUUUCCAGUGUCCCAGAACAGAGCAUAUCAGGUAGAGCUGGAUGUUUUCAACUGCCUUGUCCCGGUGGGGACCUGCCAGCAAGACAGCUUACCUUUCAUUUGGAGACACCUUGAAGUCCUGGUCCCUAGAGAAGCCCAGGACCCCAUCAGGCAAUAAAACUAUUAAUCUGGACUGCCAAGACUGAGCCAGGUGGCCUGACUAGGAAACGUUUACUAAAGGCAUCUAGGAGCCUUGCUUGUUGGUAAGCCCAGGACCCCAUCAGGUAGCUGGUCGAAAUGGGAGAUCUUUCCACCCUUAAAGCUAAUGCCUCAGAAAGACUUUUUGGGAUUCUGCACACUCUUCCCUGUAAUGCAAGUGGAUGAGGACCAUUUGGAGCUGCAGAGGCCUACAAUGCCCCAGCUACCCAAGGCUGACAGGCCAGCUAGAAGAAUCUUGAAUAAUAGAAAAAACUUUUCCUCCACAACAGCAUAGUUGGCAGGAUAAACUUUCCUAGCGGGAUACUGCUGCAGCUGAGAAAUCCCGGGACAUCUGACAAAAAGCCAGCAAAAGAUAAAACAGGCGACCAAAAUCUCCUACAAAAGAUCAACAGAAGUCCACGUUUCGGGACUAAUAGAAACCAAUGUUGAAUUGUGUAUUCAGAAACAAGGCUUUUGUUGAAAUGCUCUAUACAGACCUUACAAAGGCAUAAGUCUUUUGAUACCUAUUUUAGUUAAAAAUCCCUCUACUAUAAAGUAGCAAGUUUGAUUAAAAAGGCCACCUAGAAGAACCUUGAAGGGUAGAAUAAAAGUUUUCCUUCCCAACAUUUGGCAUAGUCAGUAGGAUACACUUCCCUCACUGGACACUGUUUGCUUUGAGGCUCUUGCAGCUGACACAUCCUGGAACAUCUGACAAACAGCCAGCAGAAGACAAAAGGUUAACUCUGAUGCUACUGCAAAAGUCUUUCAUCUUCAAAGAGAUUCAGGGAAAGGACUCUGACAAGUACUCUUGAAUACAGGUCUCUACUAACUUUAAGAUUAUGUCAUUGAACUGGAAAUGCCUCUUAUUUAAUACCUGCUUGAACCAUGAGCCUAACUUUGGGAACACACAUCCAUCACCACUUCCUGAAAUGAAUUUAGUAGAACUGAUCUAUUUUCAACUCUAAGAGACUAGCUCAGUGAGAUAAAACAAUCUACCAGCUCACAUUUUAGUAUGUGGAGUUUCUAAGGAACUCUAGGGGCCCAGGCCAGGCCACCCUAAAAUAUGCCACUUUAUCAUGUUAUUUUGAAUUAAAGCUAUUUAAGAACAGAAGAACAUUCUGACUCUCUUUGUCUCCAGAUAGCAGGAAAUAAAUCUCCAAUGUGAAAGCUAUCCUUCCUGCAUCAGGGAGCAGAAAGACAUCCUUAUCACCUGAAAUAGGUAUUUAGAGCCAAGAAGACUGUAUAAAUCAGCAAGUCUUGUUACUUUUACUAGUUUACUACCUCAGCCCAAAUUCUGUUUAGAAUUGUAUGCUAAUUAAAGCCAAUGAACAUAAGUUUUCUCUGCUUUGUCCAUUCCUCACAGAUUUAUGGUUCUUUGCCUAAACAUACAACAGCUGCUUGCUUUGGUCAUGUGGGGAGUCUCAAUUUCAUUAUUGGACGUCUGUGUAUACAAAAUAAAAUUUUUUUUCUUGUGUUAA
Molecule: long non-coding RNA, 7283 nt
Organism: Felis catus (domestic cat)
Lineage: Eukaryota; Metazoa; Chordata; Mammalia; Carnivora; Felidae
Exons: 8
Source: RefSeq, a predicted model, not a curated record